GGUUAAGCGACUAAGCGUACACGGUGGAUGCCCUGGCAGUCAGAGGCGAUGAAGGGCGUACUAAUCUGCGAUAAGCGCCGGUAAGGUGAUAUGAACCGUUAUAACCGGCGAUACCCGAAUGGGGAAACCCAGUGUGAUUCGUCACACUAUCAUUAACUGAAUCCAUAGGUUAAUGAGGCGAACCGGGGGAACUGAAACAUCUAAGUACCCCGAGGAAAAGAAAUCAACCGAGAUUCCCCCAGUAGCGGCGAGCGAACGGGGAGGAGCCCAGAGCCUGAAUCAGCAUGUGUGUUAGUGGAAGCGUCUGGAAAGGCGCGCGAUACAGGGUGACAGCCCCGUACACAAAAGCGCAUGUGCUGUGAGCUCGAUGAGUAGGGCGGGACACGUGGUAUCCUGUCUGAAUAUGGGGGGACCAUCCUCCAAGGCUAAAUACUCCUGACUGACCGAUAGUGAACCAGUACCGUGAGGGAAAGGCGAAAAGAACCCCGGCGAGGGGAGUGAAAAAGAACCUGAAACCGUGUACGUACAAGCAGUGGGAGCACAGGUUUACCUGUGUGACUGCGUACCUUUUGUAUAAUGGGUCAGCGACUUAUAUUCUGUAGCAAGGUUAACCGAAUAGGGGAGCCGGAGGGAAACCGAGUCUUAAUUGGGCGUUAAGUUGCAGGGUAUAGACCCGAAACCCGGUGAUCUAGCCAUGGGCAGGUUGAAGGUUGGGUAACACUAACUGGAGGACCGAACCGACUAAUGUUGAAAAAUUAGCGGAUGACCUGUGGCUGGGGGUGAAAGGCCAAUCAAACCGGGAGAUAGCUGGUUCUCCCCGAAAGCUAUUUAGGUAGCGCCUCGUGAAUUCAUCUCCGGGGGUAGAGCACUGUUUCGGCUAGGGGGCCAUCCCGGCUUACCAACCCGAUGCAAACUGCGAAUACCGGAGAAUGUUAUCACGGGAGACACACGGCGGGUGCUAACGUCCGUCGUGAAGAGGGAAACAACCCAGACCGCCAGCUAAGGUCCCAAAGUCAUGGUUAAGUGGGAAACGAUGUGGGAAGGCCCAGACAGCCAGGAUGUUGGCUUAGAAGCAGCCAUCAUUUAAAGAAAGCGUAAUAGCUCACUGGUCGAGUCGGCCUGCGCGGAAGAUGUAACGGGGCUAAACCAUGCACCGAAGCUGCGGCAGCGACACUGUGUGUUGUUGGGUAGGGGAGCGUUCUGUAAGCCUGCGAAGGUGGCCUGUGAGGGUUGCUGGAGGUAUCAGAAGUGCGAAUGCUGACAUAAGUAACGAUAAAGCGGGUGAAAAGCCCGCUCGCCGGAAGACCAAGGGUUCCUGUCCAACGUUAAUCGGGGCAGGGUGAGUCGACCCCUAAGGCGAGGCCGAAAGGCGUAGUCGAUGGGAAACGGGUUAAUAUUCCCGUACUUGGUGUUACUGCGAAGGGGGGACGGAGAAGGCUAUGUUGGCCGGGCGACGGUUGUCCCGGUUUAAGCGUGUAGGUGUGUGUUCCAGGUAAAUCCGGUUCACUUUAACACUGAGGCGUGACGACGAGGCACUACGGUGCUGAAGCAACAAAUGCCCUGCUUCCAGGAAAAGCCUCUAAGCAUCAGGUAACAUCAAAUCGUACCCCAAACCGACACAGGUGGUCAGGUAGAGAAUACCAAGGCGCUUGAGAGAACUCGGGUGAAGGAACUAGGCAAAAUGGUGCCGUAACUUCGGGAGAAGGCACGCUGACACGUAGGUGAAGUGAUUUACUCAUGGAGCUGAAGUCAGUCGAAGAUACCAGCUGGCUGCAACUGUUUAUUAAAAACACAGCACUGUGCAAACACGAAAGUGGACGUAUACGGUGUGACGCCUGCCCGGUGCCGGAAGGUUAAUUGAUGGGGUCAGCGCAAGCGAAGCUCCUGAUCGAAGCCCCGGUAAACGGCGGCCGUAACUAUAACGGUCCUAAGGUAGCGAAAUUCCUUGUCGGGUAAGUUCCGACCUGCACGAAUGGCGUAAUGAUGGCCAGGCUGUCUCCACCCGAGACUCAGUGAAAUUGAACUCGCUGUGAAGAUGCAGUGUACCCGCGGCAAGACGGAAAGACCCCGUGAACCUUUACUAUAGCUUGACACUGAACAUUGAGCCUUGAUGUGUAGGAUAGGUGGGAGGCUUUGAAGUGUGGACGCCAGUCUGCAUGGAGCCGACCUUGAAAUACCACCCUUUAAUGUUUGAUGUUCUAACGUGGACCCGUUACCCGGGUUGCGGACAGUGUCUGGUGGGUAGUUUGACUGGGGCGGUCUCCUCCUAAAGAGUAACGGAGGAGCACGAAGGUUGGCUAAUCCUGGUCGGACAUCAGGAGGUUAGUGCAAUGGCAUAAGCCAGCUUGACUGCGAGCGUGACGGCGCGAGCAGGUGCGAAAGCAGGUCAUAGUGAUCCGGUGGUUCUGAAUGGAAGGGCCAUCGCUCAACGGAUAAAAGGUACUCCGGGGAUAACAGGCUGAUACCGCCCAAGAGUUCAUAUCGACGGCGGUGUUUGGCACCUCGAUGUCGGCUCAUCACAUCCUGGGGCUGAAGUAGGUCCCAAGGGUAUGGCUGUUCGCCAUUUAAAGUGGUACGCGAGCUGGGUUUAGAACGUCGUGAGACAGUUCGGUCCCUAUCUGCCGUGGGCGCUGGAGAACUGAGGGGGGCUGCUCCUAGUACGAGAGGACCGGAGUGGACGCAUCACUGGUGUUCGGGUUGUCAUGCCAAUGGCACUGCCCGGUAGCUAAAUGCGGAAGAGAUAAGUGCUGAAAGCAUCUAAGCACGAAACUUGCCCCGAGAUGAGUUCUCCCUGAGACUUAAAGUCUCCUGAAGGAACGUUGAAGACGACGACGUUGAUAGGCCGGGUGUGUAAGCGCAGCGAUGCGUUGAGCUAACCGGUACUAAUGAACCGUGAGGCUUAACCUU
RNAcentral lists this ribosomal RNA (2907 nucleotides) under Salmonella enterica. RNAcentral describes it as "bacterial LSU rRNA". It matches the Rfam family "Bacterial large subunit ribosomal RNA". Lineage: Bacteria; Pseudomonadati; Pseudomonadota; Gammaproteobacteria; Enterobacterales; Enterobacteriaceae. The record is from RNAcentral. RNAcentral also lists the same sequence under 5 other names.